GGGAGUACAGCUCAGUGGUAGUGUGCAUGCUUAGCAUGCACAACGUCCUGGGUUCAAUCCCCAGUACCUCCA
This 72-nucleotide transfer RNA is filed under the name Camelus bactrianus (Bactrian camel). It matches the Rfam family "tRNA". From Rfam's summary of the family: Transfer RNA (tRNA) molecules are approximately 80 nucleotides in length. Their secondary structure includes four short double-helical elements and three loops (D, anti-codon, and T loops). The record is from Rfam by way of RNAcentral. RNAcentral also lists the same sequence under 1 other name. Lineage: Eukaryota; Metazoa; Chordata; Mammalia; Artiodactyla; Camelidae.